Xenopus tropicalis (tropical clawed frog) is the source of this 827-nucleotide long non-coding RNA. RefSeq lists it as uncharacterized. The transcript is spliced from 4 exons. The record is from RefSeq and is a predicted model, not a curated record. Lineage: Eukaryota; Metazoa; Chordata; Amphibia; Anura; Pipidae.
CCUUGGAUUCUGUAUUGGGCAGCGGAGGAUUCGGAAAGGUAAGUAAAACAGUCGCUCAUUAACAGUAUGCCAUCUACGGCUUCAGUGUAUUUAGGCAAAGCUAACUCUCUCUCCUUAUCCAGGUGUAUCUGGUGAAACAUACAGCAACAAAGCGGAUGUUUGCCAUGAAGACACUGCCAAAAGAAGACAUUGGUAAAUUUGGAAGGUCCAACCUCAAAAUGGAGCUGCAAAUCCUCCAGAUGGUGACGGCAGAAAAACAACAUUUCCUGACAGGUUUAUCUGCCUAUUUCCCGUCGGAACACCAUAUGUGCCUAGUGAUGGACUAUGCAUCUCAAGGCAGUUUACUGUUACAUUUGAUCAUUGGUCCAUUUUCGCUGAAAGCAACAAUGUAAGUAGCAUUUAACUUGUCAUAUUCACAUUUAGAAUGUUCUGUAUGUAUAAAGCGACUAACACAUGUUUGUGUUUAUCUACACAGGUUCUAUACAGCAUGCAUCGUCCUUGGUUUGCAAUUUCUGCACAACAAGGAUAUUGCACAUAGAGAUUUGAAGCCGGGGAACGUGCUAUUGGAUGCCAGCGGCUAUGCGAAACUUGCAGAUUUUGGACUUUCUGACGAUCUAUCUGCGUACAAACAUGGACACCUGUCCCGCUCUUUCGCUCUGCGCUUGACCGAGGCCAGGGCUCAAGACUGGCGAGAUGUGGGCUUAAUGAUCUAUCAAAUGCUUGAGAAGGAUGUAAGUAAAACGUAUAUCAGUUAGAAUGAGUCCUAUAACCAUGUUUUACAAGACUUUGUCAUGGCAGAUUUUCUUAUACCAAUAUGCAGUAAUAGC